GCCAUGCAUGUCUAGUAUAAGCAAUUAUACCGCGAAACUGCGAAUGGCUCAUUAAAUCAGUUAUCGUUUAUUUGAUAGUUCCAUACUACUUGGAUAACCGUGGUAAUUCUAGAGCUAAUACAUGCAAAAAACCGCGACUUCGGAAGCGGUGUAUUUAUUAGAUUAAAGACCAAUGCCCUUCGGGGCUGACAGGUGAUUCAUGAUAACUUCUCGAAUCGCAUGGCCUUGCGCCGGCGAUGGUUCAUUCAAAUUUCUGCCCUAUCAACUUUCGACUUUAGUGUAGUGGACUAAAGUGGUUGCAACGGGUAACGGAGGGUUAGGGCUCGACCCCGGAGAAGGAGCCUGAGAAACGGCUACUACAUCCAAGGAAGGCAGCAGGCGCGCAAAUUACCCAAUCCCGACACGGGGAGGUAGUGACAAUAAAUACUGAUACAGGGCUCUUUUGGGUCUUGUAAUUGGAAUGAGUACAAUUUAAAUCCCUUAACGAGGAACAAUUGGAGGGCAAGUCUGGUGCCAGCAGCCGCGGUAAUUCCAGCUCCAAUAGCGUAUAUUAAAGUUGUUGUGGUUAAAAAGCUCGUAGUUGAACCUGGGCCUCGCGCAGACCGGUCCGCCUCACCGCGUGCACUGGUCCUGCCGGGGCUUUCACUAGGGGAUUCGCAUGUCCUUCACUGGUCGUGCGCGGAACCUGGACUUUUACUGUGAAAAAAUUAGAGUGUUCAAAGCAGGCCUAUGCUCGAAUACAUUAGCAUGGAAUAAUAGAAUAGGACGUGUGGUUCUAUUUUGUUGGUUAUGGGACCGCCGUAAUGAUUAAUAGGGACAGUCGGGGGCAUCAGUAUUCAAUUGUCAGAGGUGAAAUUCUUGGAUUUAUUGAAGACUAACUACUGCGAAAGCAUUUGCCAAGGAUGUUUUCAUUAAUCAGGAACGAAAGUUAGGGGAUCGAAGACGAUCAGAUACCGUCGUAGUCUUAACCAUAAACUAUGCCGACUAGGGAUCGGGCGAUGUUACUUUUUGACUCGCUCGGCACCUUACGAGAAAUCAAAGUCUGUG
RNAcentral lists this ribosomal RNA (1047 nucleotides) under Zalerion maritima. RNAcentral describes it as "SSU rRNA". It matches the Rfam family "Eukaryotic small subunit ribosomal RNA", at positions 48 to 1109 of the family's 1831-position model. The record is from RNAcentral. Lineage: Eukaryota; Fungi; Ascomycota; Sordariomycetes; Lulworthiales; Lulworthiaceae.